RNAcentral lists this ribosomal RNA (520 nucleotides) under Rhabditis environmental sample. RNAcentral's name for it is "eukaryotic LSU rRNA". It matches the Rfam family "Eukaryotic large subunit ribosomal RNA", at positions 87 to 604 of the family's 3401-position model. The record is from RNAcentral. Lineage: Eukaryota; Metazoa; Nematoda; Chromadorea; Rhabditida; Rhabditidae.
CGGCGAGUGAAAAGGGAUGAGCCCAGCGCUGAAUCUCUCGGUCUAAGGCCGCUGAGAACUGUAGCGUAUAGGCUUGACUAUCUGUUUGCUAUGUAUUCUCCAAGUUCCUUUGAUAGGGGCUAGUUCAGUCCCGAGAGGGUGCUAGACCUGUGCGAGAAUUGUAGUGAGCAGUUGGUUGUUCCUUGGAGUCGUGUUGCUUGAAAGUGCAGCAUAAAGUAGGUGAUAGACUUCAUCUAAGGCUAAAUAUAACCUUGAAUUCGAUAGCUAACAAGUACCGCGAGGGAAAGUUGCAAAGAACUUUGAAGAGAGAGUUCAAGAGAACGUGAAAUCGCUGGAGUAUGCGGAGAGAGUUGACGUAACCCGGUAGCUAAGUUGUUCUUCGGAGCGAUGGUGCUGCUUAUGGUUGCAUUGGUGGCGUUGGUUUACGACGACAGCUGCGUAGUUUAGCCCACUUCGGUGGUGUCUAUCUUGUGGUCUUGUUGUUGUCAGCUAGCGUGUAAGCCCUGUUCACAGGGUGCCA